GUAGGUGAACCUGCGGAAGGAUCAUUAUUGAAUAUUCUUGAUGGGUUGUAGCUGGCUCUUCGGGGCAUGUGCACACUUGUCUUGACUUUAUUCAUCCACCUGUGCACCUUUUGUAGUCUUGUGGGUUGAGAGCAGUCGACUAUCGGAUGGCUAUGGCCUUUCCGGACGUGGGGAAUGCUGAGUGCGAAAGCAUACAGCUCUUCUCAAAUGACUUGCAAAACCUCUCCCUCAAGUACUAUGUAUUCAUAUACCACAUAGUAUGUUGUCGAAUGUGAUCAAUGGGCCUAUGUGCCUAUAAAAAUCAUAUACAACUUUCAGCAACGGAUCUCUUGGCUCUC
Molecule: unclassified non-coding RNA, 338 nt
Filed under: rhizosphere metagenome
Description: partial ribosomal RNA internal transcribed spacer region
Source: RNAcentral